Molecule: small nuclear RNA, 162 nt
Organism: Sorex araneus (European shrew)
Lineage: Eukaryota; Metazoa; Chordata; Mammalia; Eulipotyphla; Soricidae
Gene: U1
Rfam family: U1 spliceosomal RNA
About the family: U1 is a small nuclear RNA (snRNA) component of the spliceosome (involved in pre-mRNA splicing).
Source: Ensembl
AUACUUUUGUCACAGGGGAGAUAACAUGAUCAUUAAGGUGGUUUUCCCAGGGUGAGGCAUAUACAUUGUACUCCAGACGUUCUGACCCCUGCAAUUUCUCCAAAUGUGGAUAACUCGACUACAUAAUUUGGUAGUGGGGAACUGUGUUUGUGCUCUCCCCAA